AAAACGAGCUGGGCUGGCUGGAGGCUGCAAUUCUGAACCUGAGUUUAAGUGGCAGGAACCAUGAAGACAUCCAUGGGAGCUUUAAUCAUGUUCUUGUGGCUGCAGCUGAACUGGUUCAGCCAGGGAGAGAAUGUGGAGCAGCAUCCUUCUACCCUGAGUGUCCAGGAGGGAAGCAGCUCUGUUAUCAACUGCAGUUUUUCAGAUGGUCGUUCAGACUAUUUCCCUUGGUAUAAGCAAGAACUUGGAAAAGGUCUCCAGCUCCUUAUAUACAUUCGUUCAAACAUGGCCACAAAAGAAGACCAAAGACUCACAGUUUCACUGAAUAGGACGGCCAAACAUUUCUCCCUGCACAUCAGAGACACCCAGCCUGAAGACUCAGCUGUGUACUUCUGUGCAGCAAGCACACAUUGUUUCCCAGGCACCUGAUGCCUGCACUCAAACCUGGGACUGGGGCAGCCCCCUCUCCUUUGACAUAGACAUUCAAGGAUGGGCUUUGUCCUAUUGUUUGUCUGUACAUGGAAUCUAAUGUUUUAUUAUUUUCUAAAAUUUAAAUUCAGUUAGCUGUCAUAUAGGACAUUAUUUGUUUCAGGUGUGGUGUUCAGUGAUUCAUCUGUUGCAUGCAACACCCAGUUCUUAUCACAUCACAUGCCCUCCUUAAUGCCUAUCACCCAGUUAUCCCAGAAGCUAAUAUUUUAGACAUUUAAAACAAAUUAUAUAA
Molecule: non-coding RNA, 718 nt
Organism: Mustela lutreola (European mink)
Lineage: Eukaryota; Metazoa; Chordata; Mammalia; Carnivora; Mustelidae
Source: the annotation of a RefSeq genome assembly